Molecule: unclassified non-coding RNA, 224 nt
Filed under: Edenia gomezpompae
Lineage: Eukaryota; Fungi; Ascomycota; Dothideomycetes; Pleosporales; Pleosporaceae
Description: partial internal transcribed spacer region
Rfam family: Eukaryotic small subunit ribosomal RNA (bases 1-46)
Source: RNAcentral
AAGUCGUAACAAGGUUUCCGUAGGUGAACCUGCGGAAGGAUCAUUAUCAAAAGUCAGUCGGGAGCCCUAGUGGCUGCCGUCUACACCCAAGUCUUUUGUGUACUCAUUGUUUCCUCGGCGGCGUAAGUCGCCGAAUGGACAAACUAAAACCUUUUUGUAAUUGCAAUCAGCGUCAUUAAAUAUAAUAAUAUUUACAACUUUCAACAACGGAUCUCUUGGCUCUC